Molecule: ribosomal RNA, 330 nt
Filed under: uncultured Edaphobacter sp.
Lineage: Bacteria; Pseudomonadati; Acidobacteriota; Terriglobia; Terriglobales; Acidobacteriaceae
Description: bacterial SSU rRNA
Rfam family: Bacterial small subunit ribosomal RNA
Source: RNAcentral
CACGUGACUAAUCUACCCUCGAGUGGGGAAUAACUGAGAGAAAUCUUAGCUAAUACCGCAUAACACUUACGAGUCAAAGCAGCAAUGCGCUUGGGGAGGAGGUCGCGGUCGAUUAGCUAGUUGGUGAGGUAAUGGCUCACCAAGGCGAUGAUCGAUAUCCGGCCUGAGAGGGCGCACGGACACACUGGAACUGAAACACGGUCCAGACUCCUACGGGAGGCAGCAGUGGGGAAUUUUGCGCAAUGGGGGAAACCCUGACGCAGCAACGCCGCGUGGAGGAUGAAGUAUCUUGGUACGUAAACUCCUUUCGAUGGGGAAGAUAAUGACGGU